Fukomys damarensis (Damara mole-rat) is the source of this 4059-nucleotide long non-coding RNA. RefSeq lists it as uncharacterized. The transcript has 5 exons. The record is from RefSeq and is a predicted model, not a curated record. NCBI's taxonomy places the organism in Eukaryota, Metazoa, Chordata, Mammalia, Rodentia, Bathyergidae.
AAAUGUGAUCCAGAAACAAGUCGUGGCCUGUGCCCUGCCAAGUCUGUAAUUAAGACUGGGGGUGUGCUGGGCAGUGACACAUUCCCAUCUGUGGGGUUCUCAGCAAGUUCUGUGCUGUUUUUGGAGUGGAGGCGCUGGAGGGCAGCAGAGAAAGGGUGCAGCUGAGCUCUCCAGGAUGUGGAUGGGAUUUCAACCCAGGAGGAGAGAGAGAUAAGAAAUUGCAAGGGACUUCUAUCUUUGGCCCAGCCCUGAAGGGAGCCCGAGGCAGUCUGGCUGGAAGGAAGACACUGGCUGACCUGAAGUCCCCUCUGGAUCAUCUCUGAACUGAAACUCAACUCCUGAUUUCUGGUGUCCCCUAGACCAGGAGCAGCCACUCUAGACACCAACAUGAGUGAGAAUCUGCUGCCAGGGAAAACACAUGGGUACAGUGCACCUGCAGGGCCUCUACGGUAGGUGGGCCUGCAUUAAGGGCUGUGCCUUCCUCAGGUGCCCUCUGCUCUCCUUCACCCUGGACCUGGUGAACUCCAGCAGAAGAGGGCAGGGCUGGUCAUGUGCAGAGGGAAGGCAAGGAGUAUCGGGGCCUCCAAGGCAGCUGGGGCUGCAGGUAGCUGCUGCUGGGUGGUCUCUAGGACACUGUCUGCUUGUGAGGGAGCCGAGAGCACAGCUAGGGUUACCCGCACACCGGGCAUUUCCUAGCCCACACCACCCACCUCCGUGGAGCCUGCUAAGCCUGCAGAAGCCAGCAGUAAGCUGUACCUCCUGAGUCAGGGCUGGGGCCCCACAGUGGGAGACCAUGUUGGCCUUCCGUGCCUCUUCCUCCCCCUCUCCCUUUGCUCUCUCUUGCAGCACCACUAUUGCAUUGUAGAUGCUGUUGACUUUGCACUUGACGAGGCCUAUGAGAGGUUCAACUGGCAUUUUGGCAAGAAGGGCCAGGAAUGUACUUUCACGGUCUACUUCCAUUCCAGCCACAUCACUGACACCUUGGAGUGGAGACAUCCUGGACAACAAGAGCCUGGAAAGGACUACUGGUACUAUCAUGCUUGGUAACAGUGGGGUGAGUAGUUCCAGACAACACCUUAUCAGUGCGGUAUUUGGCCCCGGGUCACACGGCUGAGGUUCAGCUACAAAUAUCCCUUCCUAGUGUUCAUUCAGCCAUGCCACAGGCAGGAGGUCUCCCUGAGUGAGAGCGUGGUUGGGGUGUUGGGAAUGUCACCUGGGCAGGUGAGUUAGGCAGGGAGACAAGCUCUGGGCUGCUUUUGACUUUGAGCAAACAGGCUGGCUAUGUGACCCUGGGAAGAUCCCUUAACCUCUCAGCUUUGCUUUUUCUUGAGCACUAGGAGUAGUAAACUGUGCUCCAGAUGCUGAAAUCACUGCCUUUGGGUCACACCUGGGUUAGAGGUUCUGCCUUGUGUUCAGCAAGAAUUUUUCUUUCUGUUUGACAACAAAACUCCCUUUUUGUGGUGAUGGUGAUGAUGGAUGAGGAUGUUUUGGGAAAUCCAGGCCUAGGGGUACUUCAUGCUCUGAGACCCUGAGAUGGUUGCCUGUGAGGUGCACCUUGGACCUAGGCCUGAGUAGACUGCUCAGUGCUCCUCCCACAGCAUCACAGAGCUCAGCCCACCAUGGCGCCAAGGCAGGGCCACCAGAAAAUGCUGGUCCAAACCCCACACUUCAUCGUAAACCAUCCACACUUACUGUGGUUCCUCAUAGGCGUGGAACAAAAGACAGCCUCUGAGUCUCCUCUGUCUUAAAACCUCACUGCUCCAGCAGCCCCUAGGGCCCAGCUCUCCCUGCUCUUCCUCCAAGUAAGCAAACCCCAGCUUCUGCCCUUGCUCUGUGCCCUUCCUCAGUUUUGCCCCUAGGGACCAGGCUUAGCUGAGCAAGUGGCCAGCAAGAGGAGGGCAGGAUCGCUCCUGCUGUUCCUCUCUCCCAUCCUGCUUUCCCAGCUUGAAGCAGGAACCAUCCCACUCUGACCUAAGUCAUAACUACCUCCUGAGGCUUGUUAUUUUCUGUGGUUUGAAAGAAGCUUCUUUAAAAAAAUCAAAAUAACUUGCAUCUGUGUAGCUUUUCCAAACUUCAAAGUCUGCUCUUGAUCUUACUUGCCUUGAAGUCCUGAGUCUGGACAGAACGUGGUCAGAGACGUGUUGCACAGACCCUGCAGCCCACAGAGCAGAAGAGGCAGCAACAGUUUGCCCUUGUCAUGGCAGCAGCAGGAGAUCCACCGACCAUCGUUGAGGACGCCUAGCUCUCCUUUCUGCUGAAGCCAUAGGGCCUGAGAGAUUCAGCUAGCAUGUCGGUGACCAGGGAUGUCAUGGGAGAUGAACCUGUGGCCUCCUCAUACACAGUGUCCACCCUCCUCAGCACCCCCAUGCACCCUGGGACUUAUACAGGGCACCUUUUUGGUUUGUUUGUUUUAAAGCUUUCAGUGUAAACUGAGUGAUUACAUAACUUCUCUUGUAAUUCUUACAGGGUUGAAAAAAAAAAGACUCAAAACAAACAAUGGAUAUUCUAAGUCAGAUCGGUUCUGCCAAGGACAGACAGCCUCUUCAGCGGGGGCUCUGGAGGUGAGAAGGUCGGUGUUUGCCUUUUACAUUCUUCUGUGAUUCCGGAAGUAAAGAGAGACUUGUUACUUGGGCCAGAAAGGAAGAAGAAAAUGAAUGAAUGUUGAGCAUUUACCUUGUGUGAGUCCUGUGGAAAGAACAUUAAUGGUAUCAUGCCUGGGGAGAAGCUCUUUGUAGAACAUCCCACAAACUUUCUUGGCUCCUUAAAGAUUUUAUUAAAGUCUUUAUUAUUUUCACCUUUAGCGUAUCCUGUUCUUAGAGCAUCUGUGUUUUAGGUAAAAGCCGUAUCAAUCACCCAGGGGUAGUGCAACCCCCAGGACACUAGCUGGUUACUUGUGGCUUCUCUUUCUACCGAACCCUCAGCCAGCAGGCUGGACGCUCCCUCCAUGGGAUGUCAAAUUUGUCACUUUACACAUAAUUCUGAGUACACAGAGUCCAAGGAAGGCAGUCCUCAGGGUGUCUAGACAAGCAGCGUGAGCUUGUUGAGGUGAAUUUAUUUUUCUUCAGGUUCAGAGCCAUUUUUUCCCCCUCCUAACUGCAGAGUUCAGAGCCUCAUGGGUGAUUCUGAGUGUCAGGGAAGCCCAACAUUAUGAUUCUCAAGUUUAGGUUUAUUUCUUUUAAAAAUUCAUGAAAAGGAUUUAUAGAAAUGUCUUAAUUAAAGGCACGAUUCUGGCAGCCAGCACAACCCCAGGCAGGGCUGGUGAUACCUAAUGAACCGAUCAGGGAGGCUGCCUGAUUCCCUCCAGGGCCAACCCCCUGGGACUGCCCACCACCACCUUCUCUUGGAACAUCUCAGGGUCUAGGGCCACCCUGAGCACAGGGUUAGAUGUGAGACCCUCCAGACUCCUCUUCCUGGGGCCCUGGCCUCCAGAGGCACCAACAGGAAAGGGAGAAGUCAUCUGUUCUUCUGCACGCCAGAGGGUGGUGCCGUGGAGCAACAGGCUGGAGUGUCCCGUCCAGGGGACUGAGUUGGGGCUCCAAGUGGCCAGGGACAUGUAGUUCUUCAUCUCCAUGGGGGAGUGGAACUGCCCAUUUCUUAAGCAGUUCUGAUCAUGUAUCCAAAGACCAUAUACUGGAAUGGUAAUUGAGAAGCUGAUAAGGUGCUGGAUGCAAGUUAAUAUCCCGGAGACUCACCCCGAAUAACAAUCAGCUGAGACGUGCAAGACACAUGAUUCUACGGGGGAAUUUCAGUGUGCAGGGAACAAGAUGGUCAGACCAUGAGCACACAGCGGGGUUGCUCCUCCGCAUGGGUGCCUCUGCCCCUUCUCAGGCUGCAGCCCAGGUUUCCUCUUUAUAUUUCUACCCUGCCUGUCUUCUCUGCACUCCUAGCUGCUGCCUUGGCAUGGAGGCCCUGAGCACUGUGUCCAAAGCUUAGGGAUCAGAGGAGUUCCAUGGGGAACCUGGGGACAGGGAGCCCAGGCAGGUGCAGGGCAAGGUAGUGAGGUAGGGGAAGGUUCUAGAAGCCUAGGGGGUGGUGGGCCCUAGAGGUGGAGCUGUGGCA